GGCGUGCUACACAUGCAGUCCGACGUGAAAGGGGAGCAAUCCCCCGGUAGGGUGGCAAACGGGUGAGUAAGACAUGGGUGAUCUGCCCUGGAGACGGGGAUAUCCCUCCGAAAGGGGGGGACAACACCGAAUAGUAUCCGGUUCCGUGAAGGGGGCCGGGGAAAGGGAGGCCUCUGGUACAAGCUUCCGCUCCUGGAUGAGCCCAUGGCCCAUCAGCUAGUUGGUAGGGUAAAGGCCCACCAAGGCGACGACGGGUAGCUGGUCUGAGAGGACAACCAGCCACACUGGCACUGAGACACGGGCCAGACUCCUACGGGAGGCAGCAGUGAGGAAUAUUGCGCAAUGGGGGCAACCCUGACGCAGCAACGCCGCGUGUGGGAAGAAGGCUUUCGGGUUGUAAACCACUUUUGCCCGGGACGAAAGGGGGGACCUGAAUAAGGUUGCCCGAUGACGGUACCGGGAGAAUAAGCCACGGCUAACUCUGUGCCAGCAGCCGCGGUAAGACAGAGGUGGCAAGCGUUGUUCGGAGUUACUGGGCGUAAAGAGUCUGUAGGUGGUCUGUCAAGUCUUUGGUGAAAGGCCGUGGCUUAACCAUGGGAAUGCCAAAGAGACUGGCAGCUGGGAGGCUGGGGGAGGGAAGCGGAAUUUCUGGUGUAGCGGUGAAAUGCGUAGAUAUCAGAAGGAAGGCCGGUGGCGAAGGCGGCUUCCUGGAACAGACCUGACACUGAGAGACGAAAGCGUGGGGAGCAAACAGGAUUAGAUACCCUGGUAGUCCACGCCCUAAACGAUGGGUACUAAGUGUGGGAGGGUUAAACCUCCCGUGCCGCAGCCAACGCAGUAAGUACC
Molecule: ribosomal RNA, 846 nt
Filed under: uncultured Leptospirillum sp.
Lineage: Bacteria; Pseudomonadati; Nitrospirota; Nitrospiria; Nitrospirales; Nitrospiraceae
Description: bacterial SSU rRNA
Rfam family: Bacterial small subunit ribosomal RNA
Source: RNAcentral